GUAGGUGGCAAGCGUUGUCCGGAAUUAUUGGGCGCAAAGCGCGCGCAGGCGGGUCCUUUAAGUCUGAUGUGAAAGCCCACGGGCUCAACCGUGGAGGGUCAUUGGAAACUGGGGGACUUGAGUACAGAAGAGGAAAGCGGAAUUCCAAGUGUAGCGGUGAAAUGCGUAGAGAUUUGGAGGAACACCAGUGGCGAAGGCGGCUUUCUGGUCUGUAACUGACGCUGAGGCGCGAAAGCGUGGGGAGCAAACAGGAUUAGAUACCCUGGUAGUCCACGCCGUAAACGAUGAGUGCUAAGUGUUAGGGGGUUUCCGCCCCUUAGUGCUGCAGCUAACGCAUUAAGCACUCCGCCUGGGGAGUACGGCCGCAAAGGCUG
This 374-nucleotide ribosomal RNA is filed under the name uncultured organism. Its description in RNAcentral is "partial 16S ribosomal RNA". It matches the Rfam family "Bacterial small subunit ribosomal RNA", at positions 527 to 896 of the family's 1533-position model. The record is from RNAcentral.